RNAcentral lists this ribosomal RNA (495 nucleotides) under uncultured bacterium. Its description in RNAcentral is "partial 16S ribosomal RNA". It matches the Rfam family "Bacterial small subunit ribosomal RNA", at positions 28 to 507 of the family's 1533-position model. The record is from RNAcentral.
GACGAACGCUGGCGGCGUGCCUAAUACAUGCAAGUAGAACGCUGAAGGAGGAGCUUGCUUCUCUGGAUGAGUUGCGAACGGGUGAGUAACGCGUAGGUAACCUGCCUGGUAGCGGGGGAUAACUAUUGGAAACGAUAGCUAAUACCGCAUAAGAGUAGAUGUCGCAUGACAUUUGCUUAAAAGGUGCAAUUGCAUCACUACCAGAUGGACCUGCGUUGUAUUAGCUAGUUGGUGAGGUAACGGCUCACCAAGGCAACGAUACAUAGCCGACCUGAGAGGGUGAUCGGCCACACUGGGACUGAGACACGGCCCAGACUCCUACGGGAGGCAGCAGUAGGGAAUCUUCGGCAAUGGACGGAAGUCUGACCGAGCAACGCCGCGUGAGUGAAGAAGGUUUUCGGAUCGUAAAGCUCUGUUAUAAGAGAAGAACGAGUGUGAGAGUGGAAAGUUCACACUGUGACGGUAUCUUACCAGAAAGGGACGGCUAACUACGUG